Molecule: unclassified non-coding RNA, 348 nt
Filed under: soil metagenome
Description: partial contains 5.8S ribosomal RNA, internal transcribed spacer 2, and large subunit ribosomal RNA
Rfam family: 5.8S ribosomal RNA (bases 1-120)
Source: RNAcentral
GAUGAAGAACGUAGCAAAAUGCGAUAAGUAAUGUGAAUUGCAGAAUUCAGUGAAUCAUCGAAUCUUUGAACGCACAUUGCGCCCGCUGGUAUUCCGUCGGGCAUGCCUGUUCGAGCGUCAUUUCAACCCUCAAGCCCCCGGGUUUGGUGUUGGGGAUCGGCUCUGCCCUUCUGGGCGGUGCCGCCCCCGAAAUACAUUGGCGGUCUCGCUGCAGCCUCCAUUGCGUAGUAGCUAACACCUCGCAACUGGAACGCGGCGCGGCCAUGCCGUAAAACCCCAACUUCUGAAUGUUGACCUCGGAUCAGGUAGGAAUACCCGCUGAACUUAAGCAUAUCAAUAAGCGGAGGA